Molecule: non-coding RNA, 87 nt
Filed under: Bacillus sp. (in: firmicutes)
Lineage: Bacteria; Bacillati; Bacillota; Bacilli; Caryophanales; Bacillaceae
Also listed under: 1 other name
Description: Bacillus sp. c-di-GMP sequence
Rfam family: c-di-GMP-I riboswitch aptamer
About the family: GEMM was predicted in a large-scale screen for bacterial structured RNA regulatory elements. Genes associated with GEMM are involved in a diverse array of functions, including chemotaxis regulation, signal transduction, secretion and chitin.
Source: RNAcentral
UAGAAUAUCAGGCAAAACCUCUGAAAAGUGGUGACGCAAAGCUAUAGGGACUACUUCUUAACCGAGAAAUGUCAGCCAGUUGCAACC